This 253-nucleotide ribosomal RNA is filed under the name uncultured bacterium. RNAcentral's name for it is "partial 16S ribosomal RNA". It matches the Rfam family "Bacterial small subunit ribosomal RNA", at positions 524 to 776 of the family's 1533-position model. The record is from RNAcentral.
UACGUAGGGGUCGAGCGUUGUCCGGAGUUACUGGGCGUAAAGCGUGCGCAGGCGGCGCACCGCGCCCGGCGUGAAAGCCCCCGGCUCAACCGGGGAGGGUCGUCGGGGACGGGUGCGCUUGAGGGUAUCAGGGGCUGGUGGAAUUCCCGGUGUAGUGGUGAAAUGCAUAGAUAUGUCACAGAACACCAAUUGCGAAGGCAGCUUACUAAGGUGCAAUUGACGCUGAGGCACGAAAGCGUGGGGAUCAAACAGG